AGUGAACGCUGGCGGUAGGCCUAACACAUGCAAGUCGAACGGCAGCACAGUAAGAGCUUGCUCUUACGGGUGGCGAGUGGCGGACGGGUGAGGAAUACAUCGGAAUCUACUUUUUCGUGGGGGAUAACGUAGGGAAACUUACGCUAAUACCGCAUACGACCUACGGGUGAAAGCAGGGGAUCUUCGGACCUUGCGCGAUUGAAUGAGCCGAUGUCGGAUUAGCUAGUUGGCGGGGUAAAGGCCCACAAAGGCGACGAUCCGUAGCUGGUCUGAGAGGAUGAUCAGCCACACUGGAACUGAGACACGGUCCAGACUCCUACGGGAGGCAGCAGUGGGGAAUAUUGGACAAUGGGCGCAAGCCUGAUCCAGCCAUACCGCGUGGGUGAAGAAGGCCUUCGGGUUGUAAAGCCCUUUUGUCGGGAAAGAAAAGCAGCAGGUUAAUACCCCGCUGUUCUGACGGUACCCAAAGAAUAAGCACCGGCUAACUUCGUG
This 492-nucleotide ribosomal RNA is filed under the name uncultured bacterium. RNAcentral describes it as "partial 16S ribosomal RNA". It matches the Rfam family "Bacterial small subunit ribosomal RNA", at positions 29 to 507 of the family's 1533-position model. The record is from RNAcentral.